This 252-nucleotide ribosomal RNA is filed under the name uncultured bacterium. RNAcentral describes it as "partial 16S ribosomal RNA". It matches the Rfam family "Bacterial small subunit ribosomal RNA", at positions 524 to 776 of the family's 1533-position model. The record is from RNAcentral.
UACAGAGGGUGCAAGCGUUAAUCGGAGUUACUGGGCGUAAAGGGCGCGUAGGCGGUUUGUUAAGUGAGUUGUGAAAGCCCUGGGCUUAACCUGGGAAUGGCAACUUAAACUGGCGAGCUAGAGUACUGUAGAGGGUAGUGGAAUUUCCGGUGUAGCGGUGAAAUGCGUAGAGAUCGGAAGGAACACCAGUGGCGAGGCGGCUACCUGGACAGAUACUGACGCUGAGGCGCGAGAGCGUGGGGAGCAAACAGG